This 464-nucleotide ribosomal RNA is filed under the name uncultured bacterium. RNAcentral describes it as "bacterial SSU rRNA". It matches the Rfam family "Bacterial small subunit ribosomal RNA", at positions 338 to 795 of the family's 1533-position model. The record is from RNAcentral.
CCUACGGGCGGCAGCAGUGGGGAAUAUUGCACAAUGGGCGCAAGCCUGAUGCAGCCAUGCCGCGUGUAUGAAGAAGGCCUUCGGGUUGUAAAGUACUUUCAGCGGGGAGGAAGGUGUUGUGGUAAUAACCACAACAAUUGACGUUACCCGCAGAAGAAGCACCGGCUAACUCCGUGCCAGCAGCCGCGGUAAUACGGAGGGUGCAAGCGUUAAUCGGAAUUACUGGGCGUAAAGCGCACGCAGGCGGUCUGUCAAGUCGGAUGUGAAAUCCCCGGGCUCAACCUGGGAACAGCAUUCGAAACUGGCAGGCUAGAGUCUUGUAGAGGGGGGUAGAAUUCCAGGUGUAGCGGUGAAAUGCGUAGAGAUCUGGAGGAAUACCGGUGGCGAAGGCGGCCCCCUGGACAAAGACUGACGCUCAGGUGCGAAAGCGUGGGGAGCAAACAGGAUUAGAUACCCUCGUAGUC